GACGAACGCUGGCGGCGUGCCUAACACAUGCAAGUCGAGCGGCAAGGCCCUUUCGGGGGUACACGAGCGGCGAACGGGUGAGUAACACGUGGGUGACCUGCCCUCAGCUCUGGGAUAAGCCUGGGAAACUGGGUCUAAUACUGGAUAUGACUCCACGGUGCAUGUCGUGGGGUGGAAAGCCUUGUGCGGCUGAGGAUGGGCCCGCGGCCUAUCAGCUUGUUGGUGGGGUGAUGGCCUACCAAGGCGACGACGGGUAGCCGGCCUGAGAGGGCGACCGGCCACACUGGGACUGAGACACGGCCCAGACUCCUACGGGAGGCAGCAGUGGGGAAUCUUGCGCAAUGGGCGAAAGCCUGACGCAGCGACGCCGCGUGAGGGAUGACGGCCUGG
This 390-nucleotide ribosomal RNA is filed under the name uncultured bacterium. RNAcentral describes it as "bacterial SSU rRNA". It matches the Rfam family "Bacterial small subunit ribosomal RNA", at positions 28 to 419 of the family's 1533-position model. The record is from RNAcentral.